GAUUAUAAAAUGAGGAUAAAGUCACAUACCUGGAAAGUUUGUGAGGAUGAAGUUAGAUACUGCACACAAGUGCUAGCAGGGUCUGGCACCCAGUGAACAUUAGAAUCUGAUGUCUCCCUUUCAUUCCUGUCCUAUGCCUCCCUGCUUCGAGUUACCAUUGUCUUUGCUCCUGGUUUCCCGUACCAGCAGCUGGAUGUCAUGCCGGUGAGUUUCACCAUUCUUUCAUUCUCUCCCCUCCCUCUUCUCCAAACCACAGUGCAUUUGCUGAGAGCACCUGGACGCCAGUGAAUCAAGGUCAAAACUAUCCCCCUGAGACACUCACAGGGGUCUUUCCGAAAAAAAAAAAAGGUUUUGGUGUCUUACUAGUCUCAUUCUAAAAAGGAUGAUUAUCCUGGGAGAUGGAGGAACCCUGUCCUCUUUCUCCAAGUUGCAUCAUCAUUUUCUGGUUCUCCCUGGGCCAUGCCCUCUUCAGCUGCCAGUUUUGAGACGCUGCAGUGUGAGGGACCUGUCUGCACCGAGGAGAGCAGCUGCCACACGGAGGAUGACUUGACUGAUGCAAGGGAAGCUGGCUUCCAGGUCAAGGCCUACACUUUCAGUGAACCCUUCCACCUGAUUGUGUCCUAUGACUGGCUGAUCCUCCAAGGUCCAGCCAAGCCAGUUUUUGAAGGGGACCUGCUGGUUCUGCGCUGCCAGGCCUGGCAAGACUGGCCACUGACUCAGGUGACCUUCUACCGAGAUGGCUCAGCUCUGGGUCCCCCCGGGCCUAACAGGGAAUUCUCCAUCGCUGUGGUACAAAAGGCAGACAGCGGGCACUACCACUGCAGUGGCAUCUUCCAGAGCCCUGGUCCUGGGAUCCCAGAAACAGCAUCUGUUGUGGCUAUCACAGUCCAAGGUGAGAGCUAGAAGCAGCAUUGUCAUGGCAGGGGAGGGUAAGGAGAGACUGGGAGCCCAAAUUGUCUUUCUUUAGCCUGGAGGUAGCAAGAUCAUCAACAGACUAUGGAGCAGGUUGCUGGCAAAUGCCCAAGUUGGGCUUCGAAAGGGACGAGACCUCAGCCUUUUGAAGUCAUCCAGCCCCACUCAGAGUCCAGCAUAGUUCCUAUCACCCAGAUCUAUGCUUCUUAGUGCUCACUGAUUGGGUGUCUGGACAACUAUCAGAUUUGCCCAUCUGUGGAUCUUUCCUAGUCCUGUCUACUUACAGAAAGAACUUGACAGAUUCAAAUGGAAUCUAAGAGAGCCCAUUCCUGCUGGAAACAGGGGAAAGGAAGUAUGACUCCCCAAGUCUCUUCACCUGCAUGUGUCUACCUGUAUAUAAGAUGGCUGAGCUCUUCUUUCUUGCCUAUCUUUUUCCCAGAACUGUUUCCAGCGCCAAUUCUCAGAGCUGUACCCUCAGCUGAACCCCAAGCAGGAGGCCCCAUGACCCUGAGUUGUCAGACAAAGUUGCCCCUGCAGAGGUCAGCUGCCCGCCUCCUCUUCUCCUUCUACAAGGAUGGAAGGAUAGUGCAAAGCAGGGGGCUCUCCUCAGAAUUCCAGAUCCCCACAGCUUCAGAAGAUCACUCCGGGUCAUACCGGUGUGAGGCAGCCACUGAGGACAACCAAGUUUGGAAACAGAGCCCCCAGCUAGAGAUCAGAGUGCAGGGUGCCUCCAGCUCUGCUGCACCUCCCACAUUGAAUCCAGCUCCUCAGAAAUCAGCUGCUCCAGGAACUGCUCCUGAGGAGGCCCCUGGGCCUCUGCCUCCGCCGCCAACCCCAUCUUCUGAGGAUCCAGGCUUUUCUUCUCCUCUGGGGAUGCCAGAUCCUCAUCUGUAUCACCAGAUGGGCCUUCUUCUCAAACACAUGCAGGAUGUGAGAGUCCUCCUCGGUCACCUGCUCAUGGAGUUGAGGGAAUUAUCUGGCCACCGGAAGCCUGGGACCACAAAGGCUACUGCUGAAUAGAAGUAAACAGUUCAUCCAUGAUCUCACUUAACCACCCCAAUAAAUCUGAUUCUUUAUUUUCUCUUCCUGUCCUGCACAUAUGCAUAAGUACUUUUACAAGUUGUCCCAGUGUUUUGUUAGAAUAAUGUAGUUAGGUGAGUGUAAAUAAAUUUAUAUAAAGUGAGAAUUGGAGUUUAGCUAUAAUUGUGUAUUCUCUCUUAACACAACAGAAUUCUGCUCUCUAGAUCAGGAAUUUCUAUCUGUUAUAUCGACCAGAAUUUUGUGAUUUAAAGAGAACUAAUGGAAGUGGAUUGAAUACAGCAGUCUCAAUUGGGGGCAAUUUUGCCCCCCAGAGGACAUUGGGCAAUGUUUGGAGACAUUUUGGUCAUUAUACUUGGGGGGUUGGGGGAUGGUGGGAUGUGUGUGCUACUGGCAUCCAGUAAAUAGAAGCCAGGGAUGCUGCUAAACAUCCUAUAAUGCAUAGGGCAGUACCCCACAACGAAAAAUAAUCUGGCCCAAAAUGUCAGUUGUACUGAGUUUGAGAAACCCCAGCCUAAUGAAACCCUAGGUGUUGGGCUCUGGAAUGGGACUUUGUCCCUUCUAAUUAUUAUCUCUUUCCAGCCUCAUUCAGCUAUUCUUAUUGACAUACCAGUCUUUAGCUGGUGCUAUGGUCUGUUCUUUAGUUCUAGUUUGUAUCCCCUCAAAAGCCAUUAUGUUGAAAUCCUAAUCCCCUAGGUGAUGGCAUUAAGAAGUGGGCCUUUGGGAAGUGAUUAGAUCAGGAGUGCAGAGCCCUCAUGAUUAGGAUUAGUGCCCUUAUUUAAAAAGGCCCCAGAGAGCUAACUCACCCUUCCACCAUAUGAGGACAUGGCAAGAAGAUGACAUAUAUGAGAACCAAAAAACAGCUCUCGCCAAACACCGACUCUGUUGUUGCCUUGAUCUUGAACUUCCAGCCUCCAGAACUAUGAGAAAUAAAAUUCUGUUGUUUGUAAGCUA
This 2904-nucleotide small RNA is filed under the name Pan troglodytes (chimpanzee). RNAcentral's name for it is "processed transcript". Lineage: Eukaryota; Metazoa; Chordata; Mammalia; Primates; Hominidae. The record is from RNAcentral.